UACGGAGGGUGCGAGCGUUGUCCGGAUUUAUUGGGUCUAAAGGGUGCGUAGGCGGCCCGAUAAGUCAGCGGUGAAAGACCCCGGCUCAACCGGGGGGUUGCCGUUGAUACUGUCGGGCUUGGGUACGGUCUGGGUACAUGGAAUUGGUGGUGUAGCGGUGAAAUGCAUAGAUACCAUCAGGAACACCGAUAGCGUAGGCAUUGUACUGGGCCGUUACCGACGCUGAUGCACGAAAGCGCGGGUAUCGAACAGGAUUAGAUACCCUGGUAGUCCGCGCCGUAAACGAUGGACACUCGCUGUCAUGCCGGAAAGGCGUGGCGGCCAAGCGAAGGCGUUAAGUGUCCCACCUGGGGAGUACGCCGGCAACGGUGAA
RNAcentral lists this ribosomal RNA (373 nucleotides) under uncultured bacterium. Its description in RNAcentral is "bacterial SSU rRNA". It matches the Rfam family "Bacterial small subunit ribosomal RNA", at positions 524 to 898 of the family's 1533-position model. The record is from RNAcentral.